AGAGAGAGAGAGAGAGAGAGAGAGAGAGAGAGAGAGAGAGAGAGAGAGAGAUUAGCGUGGGGCGUGAGGUUACCGUCGUGAUCGGAGGUUGCGAAUCGCUGCAAACACGCACGGAGUCCGUUUUGACGCCACGAUAUUCUCUUCCCCUUCCCGGCCGGAAGCGCGCCCUUUUAUCCUCCUCCGUCGUCGCCUGAGUGGUGGGACUUCCCCGUUGGAUCCGCCAAUCGCUGGCCGGAGUCGCGUCAGUCCCGCCCUGCCGCGGCGGUCCUUCCGGCUGGCGGAAUGUUCGGCAGGAAGCUGCCCACGUCGUGCCGGUGCGGCAGUCGGAGAAGGAGCGUUUUCCCUCUUGUGUGCGCCGGCUCUCUGCCCGUCGCGACAGUAUGUACUGUUUAUGUACUUUCCUAUGCCCUACACAAAGCUAAACAUCACAUAGAAUAAAUGAAGAAAUGGACAUUAUGAAAACAACGGAAUUGAAACAAAAAUGAAAUAAAUAAAUGAACAGAAUAAUGACCAGCACGGUGCAGGUAUUGCAAACUAAUAAAUUAAUAAAUUCAGCAGAUUCAGAAAAGUCAACUGAUGAAGUUGAAAUAAAUGUUCAGACGUAUCACAGUAUGUACCAACUGCAUACGAGAAAGCAAGGGUUAUUCACCUCCUGACGAACCCCAGUCUGGAUCCCAGACAUCAGCAACUACAGACUGGUGGUGUUGCCGUACCUAGUUUUCCAAGAUGCAUGCACUACUCAGAUCAGGCAGCGACUCACAUCCGUGGGCCUUGCUGGGCCUCAUAUACGAUACAUCAGAUGUGCUGCUCCUGCAAGGACCGUGUUGCAGCAAGGCAAGAGUGAAAACUCAUCGUACUAGUUGAACACACCUAAGCUGGUAAAUGCAGGCGACUUUAUGCAAAUGUGGAGUGACUUGGUGCAGAGACUACCAAUGGGAGUGAAGACAGGAGAGUGCACGUGAUAAGUACAAGCUACCAGAAGGAGCGAGGACCUGAGGCUGAGACGCCCGGCUCUGGGAACAAGCAGCACCAAGCCAGCCACUUCACCCAGGAAGCACGGAGACCAUGGCCGAGGAGGCCAUAAGCUGAGCUAAGCUAAGCUAAUUGCACUUUUCCCACAGACAGAUGGCCUCAGUGGCAAAGAGCACACACUGCUUCUCCUCGAUCUCAUAGGAUGUGAUGCAUAUAUACACUGGUGAGUUUUAUAUAAGAUCCUCUUCCUCCAGAAGGUUCCAUUUUAGCAGCAAGAAAACUGAUUAAUUGUCAAAAGUGGAAUGUUAGUCGCACCACCCACUGACAAAUGUUACUAUGACAACUGGUAGCAGGAACACCUACUGGCGACUUCAUAGUACAGCGACUAUGAACGUAGCAUCAGAUAGAUAAGAAAGUUUGAGCAGCGUGUCUCAGCUAGGUUAGAGUUCAGAUGCUGGGAAGGUGGGAUUUACAAGGGAUUCAAGCCUCGAUAUUUUGUGAUAGAAAUAUGUGGACUUGGUGUAUGACUGCAGGUUGCCUUUUGCCUCAUAAAUGAAAUAGUGUAUAGUGAGUGUUGACAUUAUGAAAUUGACUAUUGUAACAAAAAAACAUAUAUUUUAAUACUCAUAUGAAAUAUACAGUAGGAAAAGAAUAAUGUGCACAACAGUUCAGAUAUUCCAAACUGUUGUUUAAUUGAUUUAGCCAUAAUUAUUCAACAGUCAACUCAACAAUUCCGGUAGUAGUAGUAGUAACCCUAACCCAGACAUCACAAUCAUCAUAUUCAUGUGUUCAUAGAUAUAGAACAAAGUGAAAGUAAAAAGUACAGAUGUUUAUUAUAAAACAACAACAAUCACAAAUCAACGCCGAUCAUCUCUGGACAACAGCAACUCAGUCAAUCAGUAGUCCCACCCCACCCCCAACUCCUACAGCCCACACUUCUAUUCAGAAACUGCCUUUACCUUCACACUCUUUGAAGGAAGAUCCACAUGUUGACAUGUUGUGUAUUUGUGUGUGUGUGUGUGUGUGUGUGUGUGUGUGUGUGUGUUUUAAUGUCUGUUCUGGAUUCCUGGAUGUGUAGCCAGAUAGUAAAAUCCAUCUUUUGGGAUCUGCUGUGGAGCUGCUAAGGGCAGAGAAAUACAGAGAAACAUCUGAUUACUAACUGAUAUACUGAAGUUAUUUUAUCAUUCUUAGAGAAGGCAAUCCUGUAAUUCUGCUCCUUUACUUCAAAUGCUGCAUAAAUGAGCAUUAGGCUCUGUUCUGGUAACAAAAGAAAUCUAAAGUAUUAUUUCACAUACAUGCUGCACAUUUUGGACUCUUAUAGACUGUUUUUAGUUUCAGCUGUUUGCCUAAAGUGUGCAGCCUGUCAAUUCUGAAAAAAACAACAACAUUAGUUUAUGAAGCUCACGUUCUCAUUCUGAGUCAUUUAUAUUUCUAAGCCAGAUAAAUAAAUAAACUUUACAUUAAUAGUAAACUCACCUGGUUGAGGAGCUGAGGGAGUCUCGUAAAUUGACUCAUAAACAUGUAUCUCAUCCAAAGAUUCUGCUGAGACACAGAGAGUAGGGGUCACCACUAGGGGUCACUAUUCUUAUACACAACUAAUCCCCAUUCUUUUCAUUUCAGUGCAAAGUUUACAGUCAGUAAUGCAGUAAUUAUGUGAUUUGCUUUUAUAGUAUAAUAAUAAUAAUAAUAAUAAGAAGAAGAAGAAGAAGAAUGUUGUGGUCUGAUGAAAAGUUAAUGUUAACACCCUAGAGAUGAUUAUUUUCCAGAUCCCUGAGUGUUUUUUUUCCUCUUAUACCGCAGCAAUUUGCCAACAAUUACACUACAGUUCCUUUGAGACAUGUGAAGUCAGCCAACCACAACUUUUCUUUUUUUUUGACUUUUACUUACAUUUACAUUUAUUCACUUAGCAGACGCUUUUAUCCUAAGCGACUUACAAAUGAGAAAGAUACAAGCAAAGCGAUAUCAAGCAGAGAACAAUACAAGAAGUGCUACCAUACAAGAUCUAUUAAUUGAAUUCCAGAAGAAGCAAAGUGCAGAGUAGAGGUGUAAGUGCAUUUUUGUAUUAUUAUUAUAAUGAAUUUGUUAGGUGUUCAUAGAAGAGGUGGGUCUUUAGUUGUUUUUUGAAGAUGGUGAGAGAUUCUGCGGUCUGGAUUGAAUUUUUUAUUCAUUUAUCGAGUAAUCGAAGCCGAGCUGGGUGAAGUAUUCCAUAGCUAGCGCCCUCAAUACCACAAACUUGAUGCUGAACCUCAUUAAAUGCGGCCCGGGCCCGGGCUGUCUUGGCUGUGUAGUCAGGGGAAACGGAGAUGGUCACAUCCCUCACUUUAAUCCACUGGAGCUCUCUCACGGCGUAAAAUGUCAACACAGUCACUGUGAUAGUGGAAUCUGCACACAUUAACUCGUGGUCGUUCACCAGGCUUGGGCUUCGGCUGAAGGGUCCGGUGGGACCGGUCCAAAACCGGCUCCUUCUCCAGACCACACGCUUCUUUUAACAAGGCCGCUACAGCAGCGGUUGUACAGGUGUCAGCGCCCUCUGGAACUCCGACUAUCCUAACGUUAUUGCGCCGUGACCUCGACUCCAAAUCCUCACACUUAUUCUCUAACUGAGUCACGGUCGCAGUGAGAGACUCGACAGUAGUCUUCAUAUGAAUCAUGUCAUCGGUGCAACCGGAGAGCGCGUGCCCCAUUUCCCCAACAGUACCUUUCAGUGUUGAUAUGGUAGCCUCGGUAGUGACUUUAUCACUGGCCAGCUGUGUUUUCACGGCCUGCAGGUCAAGCUGGAUAGUAGACAGCGUACCCCCGAGAGUCUUCUGGAGCUUCUGGAGCUCCUUUUUAAAAAUAUCGGCGAUGUCCUUCCUCAGUGAAGCCAGCAGCUCAAGCCUGAGUGCGGCGAAGUCAGGGUCACCGCUCGGCGACGCGGAUUCAGAGGGAGAAGGGGACUCGCUCACGGCGUGCACACUUGGCCUCAGUCGUGUCUGAAUACUACCACAGGUUUUCGUGUUCUUUCCAGACAUUUUAACGUACCACAAAGUUAAAAUUACAAACAAGGAAACAGAGUAGAAUAAUUCAAAAUAUAUUGUAUGACCAAAAAGCGCUAAUUAAUUACAAUUACACGAAAUCAGCAGGAGCCUCCAACUUCGCGUCCUACUCCAUCGAAUUCCGAAUAACCAUUCAACCACAACUUUUCAACCUGCGUCACAGAGCAACAUAACACACUCAUAAUAAAUCUACCUUCUUCCACAUACAGAAGUCUAACAGACAGAUGAUUGUCUAAAUCAGGUGUGUCUAAUCUUAUUGGGAAAGGGCCGGUGUGGGUGCAGGUUUUCAUUCCAACCAAGCAGGAGCCACACCUGAGUCUACUGAAAGCCAAGAUCAACUGAUUAAACAGGUGAAGGUAAAUUGUAAGUCGCUUUGGAUAAAAGCAUCUGCUAAAUGAACAAAUGUAAUGUAAAUGCAGAUGUAAAUCAGGUGUGGCUCCUGCUUGGUUGGAAUGAAAACCUGCACCACACUGGCCAAUUGCAGAUAAGAUUGGACACCCCUAGUCUAGUGUUACUGACUUACAGGGGAGAGACAGUAUGCCCCUCCUAUUUUGCUCUCUUGGCCAUAGAUAUCUGUGGCAUCAUUGGGACUCGAUCUCCAGACGAUAGGGUGAAGGCUUUUCUGCUGUGCCACUCAGGAACCUGACUGAUAAAGCUGUAAAAUGCUCCUUCUAAUAGGAACCCUUCAAAAACGAGGUUUCAUCUCCAGAUAAAACUUUGUGACAUUGUGUGUGAAGAUAAUGUUUUAAGUGAUUACCUUUUUCAGCUGAAUCGUGCUGUACUUUGGCGGUGCUACCUGAAUGAAGAGGUAAUAAUAAGAGUUAAACGGGUUGCGGAUUCUGUCAGGAUUUAAUGCAGAGGAACAACACUACAUAUGAAAAAAAUUAACAUGUUUUACAUUAAGUGUCACAUAUUCCUCGUAAUGAAGGUUAGGACGGAUGCAAAUGCAGGUAAGAGUUUAUUAGAGAGAGGCAGGUAGAUAAAUCCAAAUCAUAAGACAAUAGCGUGGUCGAAAUAACAGGUAAUGGGUCAGGCGAUCUACAAACAGGCAUAAACUGGGCAAGGCUAGAAUCAAGAACAAUAAACGAGAAACAAGGUCAAUGAACAUGAUGCAAAAUGAGAAACAAGGAACAACCGCUUGGUAUGGUGAUAACACUCAAUACUUCACAAAGUCAUGGUGUUAAAAAAAGUCUCUUUUAUAGCGUGAAGUGAGUGAGUGUGAGAUGGGCAACAGGUGUGUGUGAUUAGAAUUCCGGAGGUGGUGAAUGGGGGGGCGGGGGGGGUGUAGUCCAUGACGGGCAUGUGAAGGUGAACAUGUGUGUGUGUGUGUGUGUGUGUGUGUGUGUGUGGGAAGUGUAGUCCAUGGCGGCCAUGUUUGUAGGCCGCAGUGCAGGAUGGGAAAUGUAAUCACUGGUUUGCUGUUAUAUGACAGAACCACCCCACCUCCCUAACCUCAGGGCGCGGAAAAUAACACUCCCUCCCCCAGUGGUCCUGGCCCUCUGGGCAAAAUGUCUUCACAUCCCCUCAGGUUACAAUGCAGGCAUUGUCUGACAAGUAGCAGGUUCCUCCAGGAGCUGAGGAGCAGACAUGAGGCUGGGGUCAUCAGUCUCGAGCAUGAGCAUAACUUGGUUGGUUGUGAUGUCCGCUUCAGGCAUGAGCAGAACUUGGCCAUGUCAGCAGACUCGGGCAUGAGCAGAACUUGGUUGGCCGUGACAUUGGUUUUAGGCAUGAGCAGAACCUGGUUGGUCAUGACGUCGGGACAGGAACUUGGCGUGAGCAGAGCUUGGGUUGGCCGUCUCUUCGACCUCAGACAGGAACAUGGCUUGAGAGGUCGUCCCUUCAAACUCGCACAGGCACUUGGCUUGAGAGGUCGACUCUUUGACCUCGGACAGAAACCUGGCUUGAGUACUCGCCUCUUCGACCUCGUACACAAACAUGGAUUGGGAGGUCGUCUCUUUGACCUCGGACAGGAACUUGACUUUAUGCUGGAGCUCUGGGGAGGAGGUCGCCACAUUGACCUCCGACUGGGACUCUGGAGAUGAGGUCACCACGUUGAACUCUGGCUGGAGCUCGGCAGGUGAGACCACAUAGUGGGUCUUAGGCAGGAGCUUUGGGAAGGAGGUCACCCAGUUUGCCUGCUCACAAUAGGUGGUGAACGGCAAGUCAGGUUUAUCUCUGAGGCAGGCCUCCUGGAAAAGAUCCUCCAGGAUGACCCAGGAUUUUGAACUGCAAGAAAAUAUUCAGGGUAACCUGAUAACCCAUCAUACAGCUCUGGGAGGUCUACGACAGUCCACUGAGGAAACUGGAUCGAAUCCACAGUUGGGACGGUUUGCCUGGUUUCCCUAGCGUGAUGUCUCCCCCUCUUUCCUGCUGCUUCCAUGUUAUAGGCGAAGUAUUCUGUCACAUAUUCCUCGUAAUGAAGGUUAGGACGGAUGCAAAUGCAGGUAAGAGUUUAUUAGAGAGAGGCAGGUAGAUAAAUCCAAAUCAUGAGACAAUAGCGUGAACGAAAUAAGAGCCAAUGGGUCAGGCGAUCUACAAACCUAUAAACUGGGCAAGGCUAGAAUCAAGAAUCAAGAACGAUAAACGAGAAACAAGGUCAAUGAACAUGAUGCAAAAUGAGAAACAAGGAACAACCGCUUGGUAUGGUGAUAACACUCAAUACUUCACAAAGUCAUGGUGUUCAAAAAGUCUCUUUUAUAGCGUGAAGUGAGUGAGUGUGAGAUUGGCAACAGGUGUGUGUGAUUAGAAUUCCGGAGAAGAUGAACGUGGGGAGGGGGAGUGUAGUCCAUGGCGGCCACGUUUUUAGGCCACAGUGCAGGAUGGGAAAUGUAAUCACUGGUUUGCUGUGAUAUGACCUUAAGAUUCAUUUAACUGACAGUGUUUACUGCAUGAAUAAAUGAUAAACUUCAGCAUUUAUAAAGUAUAAAGUUAAUAAGACAAAAGAUGUCCUGAGGAUGUCUGAAAACUUAAAAUUACAGCUUUACCUCUGACUGUUGCAAAGCACUGACACUGGAGACUCCUUCCAUUCAUGUUACAUGAACAUCUCCUUGUCACCAUAUCAACAAUUACAUACAUUUUUUAAUUUGUUUGUGUGAAGCUGUGCACAAAGUGCAUUAAUAUAAACCUACUCUACUGUCAGAGCUGUUGUUCUAGAAAAUUGCACAAUCACUAAUGUCAAAUAAACAGUGAGCAGUAUAUCUAACAAAACACAUGAUCCAAGAGAUAAGGACAGGCCAAGCAGGUUAGUGGGUUAGCAUUCUAGCUCAGUAGUGAAGAUAAUAAAACUUUACUGUAUAUAAUUUAAAUGAAAUGUUACCUUUCCUUUUGGAGAAACACCUCCACAGAACCAGAAGUGACACUAAAACAAGCGCACAACCCCCGGCUACUAAAGCUGUUACCGUCAACCAAUCUGAAAACCAAAUCACAUGAUCACCUCAGAUGUGUUUACCAAAAGAUAAACAACUAUUUAAAAAUAAAAAUAAAACAUCUCUGUAGUUACCUGUUCAUAUACUCUCAGAUAGUGGUGCUUGAAAGUUUAGAAAUUAGAGUCAGGUGUUUUCAAUCAAUGAAAUGAUUGGUAUAAUCAGGUGUGAGUGAGCAUCCUGUUUUAUUUAAAGAACAGCGAUUGAUCAGAGUCUGAUCUUCACAACAUGUGUUUGUAGAAGUGCAUCAUGGCAUGAACAAAGGAGAUUUCUGAGGACCUCAGAUAAAGAGAUGUUGAUGCUCAUCAGGCUGGAAAAGUUUACAAAACAAUCUAUUAAGAGUAUGGACUCCACCAACCCACAGUCAUAUUGGGUAUAAAUGGAGGAAAUUCAACACCAUUGUUCACCUCCCCAGGAGUGGAGACCAACAAAGAUCACUCCAAGAACAAGACGUGUAAUAGUCCACGAGGUCACAAAGGAACCCAGGGUAACUUCCAAGCAACUAAAGUCCUCUCUCACACUGGCUAAUGUUAAUGUUCAUGAGUCCACCAUCAGGAGAACACUGAAGAACAAUGGUGUGCAUGGCAGGACUACAAGGUGGAAGUCACCGCUCUCCAAAAAGAACAUUGCUCUCCUCCUGCAGUUUGAUAAAGAUCAUGUGGACGAGCCAGAAGUCUAAUGGAAAAAUGUUUUGUGGAUGGAGGAGACCAAAAUAGAAUUUUUUGGUUUAAAUGAGAAGUGUUAUGUUUGGAUAAAGGAAAACGCUGCAUUCCAGCAUAAGAACCUUCUCCCAUCGGUGAAACAUGGUGGUGGUAGUGUCAGGGUUUGGACCUGUUUUGCCUAAUCAGGUCCAGGACGACUCGGCAUCACUGAUGGAACAAUGAGUUCUGAAUUAUAUCAGUGAAAUUUAAAGGAAAAUGUCAUUACAUCUGUCUGUGAACUGAAUCUGAAGAGAAAGUGGGUCAUGCAGCAAGACAAUGAGCCUAAGAACACGAGUCGUUCUACCAAAGAACGCUUAAAGAAGAAUAAAGUUAAUGUUUUGGAACGGCCGAGUCAAAGCCCCGACCUUAAUCCAGUAGAAAUGUUGUGGAAGAACCUGAAGCGAGCAGUUCAUGUGAGGAAACCCACCAACAUCCCAGAGCUGAAGCUGUUCUGUACUGAGGAACGGGAUAAAACUCCUCCGAGCCGACGUGCAGAUGAUCAACACUUACCCCAAACGUUUAUCUGCAGUUAUCACUGCACAAGGGGAACACACCACAUACUGAAAGCAAAGGUGCACAUACUUUUACCCCUCACAGAUCUGUAAUACUGGAUCAAUUUCCUCAGUAAAUAAAUGACCAAGUAUAAUAUUUUUGUCUCAUUUGUUUAACUGGGUUCUCUUUAUCUACCUUUAGGAAUCUGCUGAUGUUUUAGGUUAAUGCGGAAAUGUAUAAAAUUCGAAACACAAACUUUCAAGCACCACCGUAAAUAAUAAUAUGUUAACAAUAAAAUAUAUAAUUGAUUAAUUAUUCAUUUUCAGAAUUGUUAAUUAUUUGUAAUUAUGUUAAUAAUAAUAGAAGAAUACUAAAUAAUAUGAUCAUAGUACUAAUUUAUACUUAUAACAGGAAGCAGUAGAAGAAAUUAAAAAUAAUGAAAAAUAAAUUAUAUAUAAAAUAAAACUCUAAAAUAAUAAUAAUUGUGUGGUGGAGUUUUAAUGAAAGCAAUGGUCAGACCACUUACCCCCCGUUUUCAUGAUUUUCAGAGUCUUUGAUGUCACACUGACCUCCACUGAGUUCUCAUUACAGUAAUAUCGACCAGAGUCUGAGAACGAGACAUUAAAUAUACUCAGAAUCAGACGUCUUCCUGAGCUGUAACGUCUGUCCGGAUCAGUGAUGUGUUUGAUAACCGUGUCCUUGUAGACGCUGAGAAUCUUGUCCCUUUUUCCACCCACAUCUCUGCUCCAGGUCACGUUACCGUUAGUCUCUCCACAUUUAAGUAUACAGAUGUUUUUCUCUGGACAAAAUGUUUCUGUCAGUCAGAGUGCAGGAGAAAAUACAGUGUCAGUAAACAGUCGAAGUCAAGCUGCCUCAGUAAAACUUCCUCGUUCUGUAAAACUAGUUUGCUCUUAGCUAUGUUUAUUCACUAAACUAACCAGUGUAGAUGGUGAUAGACGUCUGUUUUGAGGGACUGUCACACCUUCCUUUAUGUGCUGCCUUCAUGUGAAUAAUUCCAACCAAAAAAGUAGAACUGGUUAUGACUCAAAGGCCUGCUGAUAUAAACCACCACCACCAACAUGCUUCUUUCCUACAGAUGUUUAAACAUCUGUCUAGUCAGAGGUGGGUAGUAACGCACUACAUUUGCUUCAUUACAUUUACUUGGGUACAUUUUUUAAAUUUAAUUUUAAGAGUGGGUUUAACUGGCCAUACUUAUACUCUUACCCAAGUUCAUUUUAAUCACAGAAAUGUACUUUUACUGCUCUACAUUCGGUGGCGUUCCUUCGUCACUGUGCAAUGUUAACCAAUUAGUUUAGAUGACAAACGAGUUCACGAGUCUCGCAAUACGCUACAGUGAUCUGAAUGUGAACGCAACAACUGCUCAAUUACCACGACGGAAACAGGACACACGCACUCUCUCUAUCUCUGUCCCUCUCUCUUCCCCUCCCUCUCUAUCUCUCUCUCUAUCGCUCUCUUUCUCCCUCUAUCUCUCUGUCUCUCUCUCUCUAUCUCUCUGUCACUCUCUCUCUCUCUCUCUCUCUCUGUCUCUCUCUCUCUAUCUCUCUCUCCCUCUAUCUUCUCUCUCUCUGCCCUUCUAUCUCUCACUCUACACACACUUUCUGUUCUGUUCCAUAGUCUGUUCUUCUGGUCUCGUUCUCUUGUUUUAAUGCAGAUGCUCACAAGUUUGUGUUAUUACCAUUUUGUGAAAAUAAAGAAAAAAAAAGUCACCUGUUGGGAAAAUGUUUGAUUUCUGUGUUGAAAAUGACAGGAUGUGUUAUUGUACCCAUCACAGGACUGGGAUACGCUGCUUCAUCUUGAACCCAGGUUUUAUAGCAUAUAAACAGAACAGAAAACCUUUCCAGGAGAGACGUGACUUACAGUUCUCCAUGUGGCCUGAGAUUCAGGAUUUUCCUUCAUUUAAUCUUACUCUUACUCAAGUCAUUAUUCACAUUAUUACUUUACUCUUACUUGAGUAGGCGUAAUUAUUUUUAAAAGUAGCUUUACUACUUAUAGUAAAACAAGUAACUUCGAGUAAAAGUUUUGGCUACUCUACCCACCUCAUCUAUUUGCGUAUACAGUAUCAAUACAUCAAUACGUUUACCGUCACAAACCACAUCCUAAAUGAAGAGGAAGAAGAAACCUCUCUGUGGUUUGAUUUCCGUCAUUACAUUUUAAUUUAAUCCAUAUAUAAGACGUUAUUUCUAAUCUGUACAUACUGUAUUUUUUUCAUCAGUGGUAGAAAGAUCAGGAAUAAAAAGCUCCUUUUGCAUAAUGUGCCUAAUAUUGACUGUAUAUAGUUGGAAUGUGUUGAUAGGAGAAAUCAAAAGUUUGAGAUCUCCUGCUGUAGAGCAUUUAUGGAUCAUUGUAAUAUUGUACACAAUACCUUAACAGGUGUGGUACUGUGCAGUGCUGCUAUACUGGAAGGGUUUAGGGUUUAUAUAUAUAUAUAGGAUGUGGAAGCACUCACCGCUGUUGGCCGUGUGUACGCUCACACACAGCAGGAGACAGAUGAACCCGGUAUUCUCCAUCACGACUGAGUGUAAGAGUUAAAGAUGAAACAAAGCGAACGUUACACCCUGUGAACAGACUGAAGCUCCGAGGUGCAGUGUGUGAUGAGCAGUGUGAGGAAGUGAGAUGAGGCUGAGGAAGUGAUGUAAUGUUAUGUAUCCCUGAUUGUGGGUGUGUGUUUGUGUGUGUUUGUGUGUGUUUGUGUGUGUGUGUGUGUGUGUGUGUGUGACUUUGUUUACUUGUGGGCAUGACCUCAAAAAGACAACAAAAGGAGCACAACUAAUCAUCUCAGAAAUGUGUGUUUCUCUAAUAUUUGUGAUUAUGGUAAAGGUCUCGGGGGAUUUUAAGUGAACUUAAACACAUUUAAGAUAAGUGUAAUGAUAGGCGUGUGAGAAUGUGUGAUAAAAAAGAAAACUGAUAGAAAAGGCAUCAUAUUUGAAUCAGGAAGAAUUUGGUCACUUUAUGUAUUACAGAAACACAAAUGAACACAAUGUAAACAUGCUCUCAAUAUGUUUUUAUUUUUAUACAUUAAAUCACAAACAUAACAGAAAUACAUUAUGUGAUCUCCUCACCACCUAUAUGUUUUUCUUCCACAAACUGUUCCACAGUUGUAUAGAACGUCUCUGUACGCUGUAGCAUUACAGUUUCCCUUCACUGGAACUAAGAGGCCCAAACACUGUUCCAGCAUGACAGACAGUGCACGAAGCGAGCUCCAUGAAGACGUGGUGUGUGACGGUUGGAAGAAGGUGGAAGAACUCGAGUGUCCUGUACAGAGCCCUGACCUCAACCCCACUGAACACCUUUAGGGUGAACUGGAACUGGAGUCUCCUCACAUCGACAUCAGCACCUGACCUCAACCUUAUUAAUGCUCUUGUUACUUGAAUGAUCAUUAAUCCCCACAGCUACGAUACAAAAUUUAGUGGAAAGCCUUCCCAGAAGAUUGGAGGAGGUUGUUAUAACAGCAAUGGUGGAAUAAAUCUGGAAAGGGAUGGUCAACAAACACAAUUCAACCUGCUGUGAACUACCUAACUGGUAAGUCAGAUAUGGCUAUGUGCAGCACUGGGGCUUCUCAGGGGACUGUACUGGCUCCAUUCCUGUUCAAUCCUCCAUUCAGAUUUUAGGUAUAACACAGAGUCAUGUCAUGUGCAGAACUACAUGCAUCGGAGGUGGGCAGGGGGAUGAGUAUAUGGCCUUGGUGGAGAGUUUUGCUGAGUGGUGCAAACUGCAGCUGAACAUUGGAGGUAGUGGACACAUAUAAGUACCUGGACCUGCAAUAAAUUACUGUGCUUUUUUAUUGUAUUUAUCUGUGAAUGUUUGUCUUUUACCACUACUGUAAUUUUGCAAUUUCCAUCAGGAUUAAUAAAGUUUCUUUCUUUCUUUCUUUCUUUCUUUCUUUCUUUCUUUCUUUCUUUCUUUCUAUCUAUGUGUCACGUAAUUAAACGUAAUGGAGGUUAGGACAGAUGCAAGUGCAGAUAAGAGCUUUUAAUAAAGAGAGGCAGGCUGACAAAUCCAAAUCAUGAGACAAUAGCAUGGUCAAAUAACAGGCAAUGGGUCAAGCAAUUGACAAAACAGGAAUCAUGAAUGAGGGUGAGAACAAGAUCAAACAAUAACACAUGAAGCAAGAAACAAACGCCUGGUAUACGGAAACUCACCUAAUACUCGCUAAGUACAAAGGGACACGAGGGGUUUAAGUACUAAACAUAAUCGGGCUGAAACACAAAACAGCUGAGACUAAUGAUGACACAUACGGGAAACAAACAGUGACAAUACAGGGGCAGAGACAGGGCCAAAAACCAUAACAAAUGCACGUGUUGAAGGUAAAUUAAGUCAGUGUCACUGAAAACGAAGAUGUUAGAGUGAAACAUAGAAUGUCAAUUGUGGUGUUUAAGGACAGUGAGGAGAGGAGGCUAUCAGAGGGAAGUGAGGUUGUGACAAUGGAAGAGAAUUGUGAGUGGGGAAAGGGAGCGAAGAUUGCCACAAAAUGAGAUAGAGAUAGAGGUUGAAGACUGUGAGGGGGUGAGGGGAGAGAAAUAGAAAACUGGAUAAAGAAAUGGUAAGAGGUGUGGAGAGGAGUAACAAGUAAUAAUUUUGUGUGAGUUACAUGUGAGGAUGAGGUCAAGCUAGUUGCCGGCUUUGUGAGUUGCUGGGGUGGCCAACUGCUUGAGGUCAAACGUGGGAAGGAGCGCAAGAAAAACAUUUGUUUAUGAAGUUCACGUUCUCAUUCUGAAUAAUUUAUAAUUAUAAGCCACAUAAAUAAACUCUAUAUUAACAGUAAUUUCACCUGGUCGAGGAGCUGAUGGAGUCUCGUUGAUGUAUACCGAUGUGUACAGAUCCGAAGAUCCUGCUGAGACACAGAGUGUAGGGGUCACUACUAGGGGUCACUAUUCUUAUCCACAACUAAUCCCCAUUCUUUCAUAUAAAAUGUUUCAGGAUCAAAGUACAAAGUUUUUAGUUAUUGAUGUGUUUUGCUUUUAUAAUGUUUGCUUUAUUUAAUGUUGUGGAAAAUGUUAUUUUCCCGAUCCCUGAGUGUUUUUUUCCUGUUAUACCACUGCAAUUUGUCAACGAUUGCACUACAGUUCCUUUGAGACAUGUGAAGUCAGUCACAGCACAACUUUUCAAUCUGCGUCACAAGGCAGCGUAACACACUCAGAGGAAAUCUACCGUCUUCCACAUAGGGUUACUGUGACUUAUAGGGGAGAGACAGCAUUGGUCACAGAUAUCUGUGGCAUCGUUGGGACUCGAUCUCCAGACGUAAGGGUGAAGGCUUUUCUGCUGCGCCAUUCAGGAGCCUGACUGAUAAUUUUCAGGUCAAGUCACAGCACAGAUUCCAGAUCCCAGCAUGCACUGCAGCCUACAGACAUGUGGGACUCCACUUCCCAUAACGUGCACACAUACACUGCUUCGCUCUCAGUCCCUGGACUUCUGAUUGUGCACACCUAAUCCAUAUUACGCAUACACACACACGCGCGCGCGCGCUUUAUAUAAAGACUUUCUACCACCAGAACUUUGCGAAGUAUACACUCAGUUGCCUUUUGUCUCUGUUGUUACCAGGUCUUACACUGUAUCUGAUUUUUGCUGUAUUUGACCCUCAUCCUGUUUACAUUCAUGUGCAUUUGUUUAUCCUCUGACAUCCUGUUUGUAGAUCACCUGACCUUAGCCUGUCCCUGUUUUUGAGAACUGUCUUUAAGCACUAUAUUUGGAUUAUUUGCCUGGACUGUAAUUAUACUGCCUUAACUACAUCUGCAUCUGUCUCCACUUUCAAUAAGUGACAAUAAAGCUUUACAAUGCUCCUUCUAAUAGGAACCCUUCAAAUACAGAUUUAAUCUCCAGAUAAAACCUUCUGAUAUUGGGCGUGAAGAUAAUGUUUUAAGUGAUUACCUUUUUCAGCUGAAUCGUGGUGUACUUUGGCGGUGCUACCUGAAUGUAGAGGUAAUGAUAAGACUUAAACGGGUUGCGGAUUCUGUCAGGCUUUAAUGCAGGUGAACAACACUACAGAUGAAAAAAUGUAAAACAUGUUUUAAAUCCCAAGUAUAUCUACUUUAUUAACAGGUACUGAUUCAAAGAUGAUCAAAUGUUUGCUUGUCCAAAUAUGUCAAAAAAGCCAACAAUUUCCAUGGGGUGUACUUAUUUUUUCACAUGACUGUAUUAGAGCGAACACAUUAAUAUAAACCUGUGAGUUGCAGCUGCACUACUGUCAGAGCUGAAAAUUGCACAAGCACUAACGUAAAAUAAACAGUGAGCAUGAGUAUGUCUAACAAAACAAAUAAUCCACGAGAUAAGAACAGGCCAAGCAGGUUAGCGGGUUAGCAUUCUAGCUCAGUACUGAAGCUUGCUAAAAGAUAAACAACUAUUUGAAAAACAAAAUAAAAUUCAAUACAUUCAUUCAGUGGUGCUUGAAAGUUUUGAGAUUAGAGUCAGGUGUUUUCAGUCAGUGGGAUGAUGAUCAGGUGUGAGUGAGUGAGUGAGCGUCUUGUUUUAUUUAAAGAACAGGGAUCUAUCAGAGUCUGAUCUUCACAACACAUGUUUGUGAAAGUGUAUCAUGUCAUGAACAAAGGAGAUUUCUGAGGACCUCAGAAAAAGAGUUGUUGAAGCUCAUCAGG
Molecule: long non-coding RNA, 15230 nt
Organism: Ictalurus punctatus (channel catfish)
Lineage: Eukaryota; Metazoa; Chordata; Actinopteri; Siluriformes; Ictaluridae
Exons: 3
Source: RefSeq, a predicted model, not a curated record